CUGUCCCUAGGCAGCGUGGCGGACGGCUGAGUAAGACGUAGACAACCUACCCUGAGGACGGGGACAACCUCGGGAAACUGAGGAUAAUCCCCGAUAGGAGAGAGAUACUGGGAUGUUCUCUCUCCCAAAAGCCUUUGGGGAAUGGCUCAAAGGCGCCUCAGGAUGGGUCUGCGGGGGAUUAGGGUAGUUGGUGAGGUAACGGCUCACCAAGCCGAUAAUCCCUAGGGGCUAUGGAAGUAGGAGCCCCCAGAAGGGCACUGAGACAAGGGCCCUAGCCCUACGGGGUGCAGCAGCCGCGAAACCUCCGCAAUGCGCGUAAGCGUGACGGGGGGACUCCGAGUGGUAUAGGUCAAAGCCUAUACCUUUUCCCGAGUGUAAAUAGCUCGGGGAAUAAGGGUGUGGGCAAGACCGGUGGCAGCCGCCGCGGUAACACCGGCGCCUCAAGUGGUACCCACGAUUAUUGGGCUUAAAGCGCCCGUAGCCGGCCGAGUGUUUACACUGUGAAAUGCUGGGGCUUAACUCCAGCGCGUGCAGUGUAUAC
RNAcentral lists this ribosomal RNA (541 nucleotides) under uncultured euryarchaeote. Its description in RNAcentral is "bacterial SSU rRNA". It matches the Rfam family "Archaeal small subunit ribosomal RNA", at positions 65 to 584 of the family's 1478-position model. The record is from RNAcentral. Lineage: Archaea; Methanobacteriati; Methanobacteriota.